RNAcentral lists this non-coding RNA (24 nucleotides) under Arabidopsis thaliana (thale cress). The record is from RNAcentral. Lineage: Eukaryota; Viridiplantae; Streptophyta; Magnoliopsida; Brassicales; Brassicaceae.
AUGUGAAGACAAUGACGCCACAUA